CGUGGCGAAAGGGGCAGUAAGGCAUAGGUAACCUACCCUUCGGACCGGGAUAUACGGUGGAAACGCCGGGCAAUACUGGACGUCGUUUCUGGAUGGCAUCAUCUAGCUUCGAAAUGGUCAGCCGCCGAGGGAGGGGCUUAUGUGCUACCAGCUUGUUGGUGAGGUAACGGCUCACCAAGGCUACGACGGCUAGGGGGUGCGAGAGCACGAUCCCCGCCACUGGGACUGAGAACUGCCCAGACUCCUACGGGAGGCUGCAGUCGAGAAUCUUCGGCAAUGGGGGCAACCCUGACCGAGCGACGCCGCGUGGUGGAUGAAGGCCUUCGGGUUGUAAACACCUGUUGGGGGGGAACAAUUUUGAGUGAACCCCUGAGGAAGCACGGGCUAAGUUCGUGCCAGCAGCCGCGGUAAGACGAACCGUGCAAACGUUACUCGGAAUCACUGGGCUUAAAGCGCGCGUAGGCGGCGGCGCAAGUCAGAGGUGAAAUCCCACGGCUCAACCGUGGAAUUGCCUCUGAUACUGCGUUGCUUGAGGGGGAACGGGGCAUCCGGAACUUCCGGUGGAGCGGUGAAAUGUGUUGAUAUCGGAAGGAACGCCGGUGGCGAAAGCGGGAUGCUGGGUCUCUUCUGACGCUGAGGUGCGAAAGCUAGGGUAGCGAACGGGAUUAGAUACCCCGGUAGUCCUAGCCGUAAACGAUGGGUACU
Molecule: ribosomal RNA, 705 nt
Filed under: uncultured Planctomycetaceae bacterium
Lineage: Bacteria; Pseudomonadati; Planctomycetota; Planctomycetia; Planctomycetales; Planctomycetaceae
Description: bacterial SSU rRNA
Rfam family: Bacterial small subunit ribosomal RNA
Source: RNAcentral